RNAcentral lists this ribosomal RNA (375 nucleotides) under uncultured eukaryote. Its description in RNAcentral is "partial 18S ribosomal RNA". It matches the Rfam family "Eukaryotic small subunit ribosomal RNA", at positions 592 to 976 of the family's 1831-position model. The record is from RNAcentral.
CAAUAGCGUAUAUUUAAGUUGUUGCAGUUAAAAAGCUCGUAGUUGGAUUUCGGUUAAGAGCGACCGGUCCGCCGUUUGGUGUGCACUGGUUGGUUUUAACUUCCUGUAGAGGACGUGCUCUGGGUUUAACGACCUGGACUCGGAGUCUACGUGGUUACUUUGAAAAAAUUAGAGUGUUCAAAGCGGGCUUACGCUUGAAUAUUUCAGCAUGGAAUAACACUAUAGGACUCCUGUCCUAUUUCGUUGGUCUCGGGACGGGAGUAAUGAUUAAGAGGAACAGUUGGGGGCAUUCGCAUUUCAUUGUCAGAGGUGAAAUUCUUGGAUUUAUGAAAGACGAACUUCUGCGAAAGCAUUUGCCAAGGAUGUUUUCAUUAA